ACACACACACACACACGAAGGCCAAAGGAAUACUGUGUUACUAUGAAUGUCGUUCAUCAGCCACCACCCAAAAUGUUUCUUUUUACAGGGUCUUUCACUGUCCUCGAAUUCAUCAUGUAGGGUAGGCUGGCUGGUCAGUGAGUCUCAGAGAUCUACUUGUCUCUCUCUCUGCAAUGUUGGGAUUAAAAGUAUGCAGUGCCUUUCCCUGGCUUUUUAUUUAUGUGUGUGCUGGGGCUCAGGCUCAGGCCCUCAGGUUGGCUACUGAGACCUUUCCAGAUUGAGCUGUCUUCUAGAUUUUUUUUAACUUCCAAAGUGAAACAAACUUUCACAAAUUAUAUCAUGAUGGGGAAGAUUGACUACAGUGGUCCCACUAUGGGCAUAUGCAGUAUUUGAACUUCAUACUCUGAUGCCCAUCUCUCAAAUCUACUUUUCCUACUUUGCUUUCAUGAUCAAGAGACAACUGCUGAAGAAUGUGAUAGAAAUUAGUACUUACACAAUGUUUUUCUUUUGCUUCCUCCUACUCUUUUUUCCCCUUGAAAUAUUUUUAGCAGUUGAAUAGAAUCCAUGGUGUUCUCCUAGGUCAUUUGAGUUCAUAGUAAGUUUCUCUACAAGUUCAGGGGUCUUUCAGAAUGGAAUCUUCCCUAGCUUUUGCUCUAGAAAACUAAAACGAGUUAACCUUUGGAAAAUGGGACAUUUACUUACUCUUUUGAGUAUAUUCUGAAAUAUUCCAUAAGUCUGUUUAUUUCUUUUAAUCUGGCUGCUUCCGAUACAGU
RNAcentral lists this long non-coding RNA (773 nucleotides) under Rattus norvegicus (Norway rat). RNAcentral describes it as "long non-coding RNA NONRATT031040". Lineage: Eukaryota; Metazoa; Chordata; Mammalia; Rodentia; Muridae. The record is from RNAcentral.